Molecule: non-coding RNA, 73 nt
Organism: Toxocara canis (dog roundworm)
Lineage: Eukaryota; Metazoa; Nematoda; Chromadorea; Rhabditida; Toxocaridae
Source: Rfam
GGCCUUGUGGUGUAGCGGUUAUCUCGCCUGCUUAACACGCAGGAGGUCGCCGGACCGAUCCCGGCCGAGAUCA